Molecule: small RNA, 501 nt
Filed under: Pan troglodytes (chimpanzee)
Lineage: Eukaryota; Metazoa; Chordata; Mammalia; Primates; Hominidae
Description: processed transcript
Source: RNAcentral
GCCGCGGCUGUCGUCCCCCGCUCCUGCCACUUCCGGGGUCGCAGUCCCGGGCAUGGAGCCGCGACCGUGAGGCGCCGCUGGACCCGGGACGACCUGCCCAGCCCGGCCGCCGCCCCACGUCCCGGUCUGUGUCCCACGCCUGCAGCUGGAAUGGAGGCUCUCUGGACCCUUUAGAAGGCACCUCUGCCCUCCUGAGGUCAGCUGAGCGGUUAAUGCGGAAGGUUAAGAAACUGCGCCUGGACAAGGAGAACACCGGAAGUUGGAGAAGGUGAGGUUGGCCUUGGAGGCCCUGAUCCGUGAGGAUGUGGCCCAGCUUCUGGAAUUCCCCAACAGUCUAAGAUCUGGAAGGCCCCUUCUUUCCCUCUCCCCUGGCUUCCCCAGCACGUCCCCAAGACUGUUCUGGUUAUUUCAAGCGAGGAGGCAGUGUGGCGUAGUGCGGGGUCUCCCCCUCAGCACUGUGGACGCUGGGGCUGGAAUGUUCUCUGGGGUGGGGCCGUCCCA